RNAcentral lists this ribosomal RNA (441 nucleotides) under uncultured soil bacterium. Its description in RNAcentral is "bacterial SSU rRNA". It matches the Rfam family "Bacterial small subunit ribosomal RNA", at positions 26 to 518 of the family's 1533-position model. The record is from RNAcentral.
AGAGCGAACGCUGGCGGCAGGCCUAACACAUGCAAGUCGAACGGACCCUUCGGGGUUAGUGGCGGACGGGUGAGUAACACGUGGGAACGUGCCUUUUGGUUCGGAAUAGCUCCUGGAAACGGGUGGUAAUGCCGAAUGUGCCCUUCGGGGGAAAGAUUUAUCGCCAUUAGAGCGGCCCGCGUCUGAUUAGCUAGUUGGUGAGGUAAAGGCUCACCAAGGCUACGAUCAGUAGCUGGUCUGAGAGGAUGACCAGCCACAUUGGGACUGAGACACGGCCCAAACUCCUACGGGAGGCAGCAGUGGGGAAUCUUGCGCAAUGGGCGAAAGCCUGACGCAGCCAUGCCGCGUGAAUGAUGAAGGUCUAGGAUUGUAAAAUUCUUUCACCGGGACACAAUGACGGUACCGAGAAGAAGCCCGGACUAACUCGUGCCAGCAAGCCGC